CACUUUUAAAAAGUGUUGCUAUAUGUGGGGUCGCUAGGUAUAUAGUGACAGUUAAAGAGUGUCGCUAUAACCUAAAAAAGUGCUGCUAAUUUACCAACACUUAUUUAAGCAUUUAGCAACCGCCGAAACUCUAUCUCGUUGGCUGCGAUGGCGGAGGAGGACGACAGGAAAGGCUCUUCGUCUAGAAUUUCAGUGGAUUAAGUGAAGAGAGAAGAAAAGAUGGUAAUUGAUUUUUCUUUUUUUUUUUCUUUUCUGUUUGUAAUCGGGCCAAAUGGACUGGGUGUGGUGGGUUGAGUAGAGUAAUCUUUUAUUUUUGGUUGGAUUGGGCUUUAUAUUUAGGCAUUAGUAGAUACUUUUUUAAGUUUUAGGAUAAAUGGAAUACUUACUCAAAAGUGUCCCAAACAUGUGUCCCUAUAAUCUAAUUCUGUUGUAGUGAUCUCUAGUUCCUGACUCGUCAAACCAAGUUUCAAUUUAGUCCUCAAACUUUCAAGUCCGAUGUUACAUGUCUAAAGUAUUAUUAAUUAGUAUGUACAUUUACUGUUAGAGGAUCAAUUAUUGGCCAGAUGCAGUGUAGAUAUAUAUACAUUGUGUACGUACCACGCAUUUAUUUAUCGAUCACCAAUUGCAUGCAUUACUAUUUAAUUUCUCUGUGAAGUAUUGAACUAAAUGUAUGGUAGAUCGAUAAAUUUAUAGUGUUCAGAUGACAUUGAAAAUUCGGCAUCUCUCAUAUAUAUCGUAUUAAAAAAAAUUAAAAUUCAUGCACAAAAAUUAAGUCCAGGAACUAACUAGUAGUGCAAUUUAUCUCUUUCAUUUUGGUCCCUAAUAUCUUUUAAGGUACCGAUUGGUUCAGAAAUUAAUAAGCUACUGUCGCUUAUAUAUAUCUAGUAUAUAUAGAUACUACAAUUGUGUUUGGAUGAGAUUUUAGUUUUUCUGAGUAAUAUAACAAAUUGUGUUUACAUAGUUAGAUUGAAAUGACAGGAAUAAAGAUACCUAUAUAUUUUUUUAAUCUAAAGAAACUGCUAUGAAAGUGUUAAUAAAAUUAUAGUUUGAUAAGUUAAUUAAUUAAUUAACUAUGAAUAUUAUAUAAGAUGAUGGAGAAGCACUUUAAUUAGUUAGUUAACUGUGAAAAAUAAGUUAAUAUGUUAAAUCCGUUAUAUAUUCGAUCAACCGAUAAAUUAAUUGUACAAGUUAAUAUAAAUAUUAGUUUAAUCACUACAACAAAAACGGUUUAUAGUGACACUUUUAAAUAUCGGUACAGGUAAAAAAAAAAUAUUGCUGGCUAAAUUACCGACACUUUUAGAAAGUGUUGCUAUAUGUGGGAUCGCUAGGUAUAUGGUGAUAGUUAAAAAGUAUCGCUAUAAGCUAAAAAGAAUGCUGCUAAUUUACCAACACUUAUUUAAGCAUUUAGCAACAGCCGGAAUUCUACCUCGUUGCUGUGAUGGGGGAGGAGGAGGAGAGGGAAGGGCUCUUCGUCUAGAAUUUCAGUGGAUUGAGUGAGGGGAGAAGGAGAGAUGGUAAUCAAUUUUCCUUUUUUUUUUUCUUUUCUGUUUGUAAUCGGGCCAAACGGGUUGGAUGGGGUGGGUUAACUAGAGUAACCUUUUAUUUUUUGUUGGAUUGGGUUUUAUAUUUAGGCAUUAGUAUAUUUUUUAAAAAAUUUUGGCAUAAAUGGGACACUUACACAAAAGUGUUCCAAACAUGUAUCCCUAUAACCUAAUUUUAUUGUAGUGAAUAUUUAAUAUUUGGACAAGUAUAUUAGAUAAUUAAUUAAAAAUUAGCUACUUGAUUAUAAAUAAUAAGUUAAUGCCUGCUUCUAAUAAUUAAUUAAUAAAUAAUACUUUUUAAUUAUUUAUAGCUGAAUUAGUAGAGGAAUAAAAAUAUAGAAUAGUACAUUCAUAGAAAUGCAUAACUUUUAGUUAUUUUUUCGAAGAAUAAAGGGUAUAU
RNAcentral lists this long non-coding RNA (1941 nucleotides) under Ananas comosus (pineapple). RNAcentral describes it as "long non-coding RNA (ACOM_LNC001042)". The record is from RNAcentral. Lineage: Eukaryota; Viridiplantae; Streptophyta; Magnoliopsida; Poales; Bromeliaceae.